Molecule: long non-coding RNA, 2708 nt
Organism: Onychostruthus taczanowskii (white-rumped snowfinch)
Lineage: Eukaryota; Metazoa; Chordata; Aves; Passeriformes; Passeridae
Exons: 4
Source: RefSeq, a predicted model, not a curated record
CCUCGCCUGCUGGCUUUCCGGAGCGUCCGGAAGGGAAGGGUUGUUUGGGGGGGUUUUAUUGUAGGUGCAAGCCGAAAGGGGAAAGCUGCGCAGCCUAAAAAAAGCAUCACCGCUUCCUCAGUUCCCAGUGGGACCGGUAACGGCAGCGCCAGUCAGUGCGGGCGGCGGGGAGGGGUCCAGCCCGUUCCCAGGCAUCCUGCGGACUAACAGCUGUUGGGGGAUCGCGGUGGCUCCGGGCUGGGACUGUUUGUGGGUGUUCGUUCCAAAUGCAAAGUCAGGCCCGGAGAGGCUGUGGCUGUACACCACUGUACACCUUGCUGGGAAAGACCAGGAAUUUUUCAGAUGUCUAGAAAUUUUCCAAUGGAGCUACAUGUCCCCAUAUGGCAAAUUAAAGCCCAGUGGAAAAAAGUCUAUUUUUUUAGUUACUGUUGUCAUAUGUUGGGCAUGAUCCACAGACAAAACAAUCCAUGGAUCACAACUUAAAAUGCAACAGUUUGGCUGAGAGUAAAGAUCUCCUGGACAGGUUUCCUUUCUUCACAAACUUCCUUGAGACUUUUUCAUCAUACCACUUUGUGCUGCAGUGGCAUCACAUGUAUUGGCCUUUUGCCACCAACCAGCAUGAUGCUCAGUUUAAUCCAUCAAUAGCCAGCUACUACAGGCAUUACAGUCAGAGCUGAAAUGGGACAACAGUGAAUUUUAAAAUAAGAAUCUUAUAUAAUACUCAAAGAUGCAACAUUUAUUAUUAUAAAUGUAUAGACAAACGCACUGGAUACAUUUCAAACAAGUGUAGGCAAAUGGAUGUAACAAAAUCCUCAAAGUGUAAAUAUAGUAAUAAAAUACAACAAAAUGUAGUAGAACUUAAAAAAGGGUUGCAAAGUGUGACUAAAAGAGCUGGACAGGAUUUUUCCAUCCGCUUUAGGAUUUCAGAUAUCUUUUUCCUUAUACUCUCUAACUUUCUAACCUACAGAGUACUGAAUAGGUCAAUAGACUCAUUAGUACUCAAGACCUCAAAGUACUGAUUACAAAUCAUGCCCCUAGUUUAGAUCAGAAUUUUACAUGAUGAAAACAGCAGUUUGCCCUGGAUGUUGUACCAUGUGUACCAUGCAGCACAAGCGUGUAGCACUGAGGCACAUCUCGAACCACCAUAUGGAAAUCGGGCCUGCACACUCUUAGCUUCUUUUGGGAAGUUGUUCAACUUAAAUAUUAAGUGGACUAUUAAGUGGAUUAUAGAAACCCAGAUUUGCAGAUGAAAGAAAGUGACAUUUAAGUUUGAAUCAAACUGCCAGCAAAGCAGAGGUGAUUUAAUCUUUGGUCCCUCAGAAAUCAGCUGGAUCACUCCAAAGGUAGGAGGUUUGAAGUAACUCUUUUGAAGUAACCAGGGGAACACAGCGAAACAUAGUCCAAGCCAGUACACUCCUGUAAAUGGAAAUACUUCAUGCUCAAUGCUCAUGAAUUUGUGUGUUCUCUGAGAAAAUAAUUUCACCAACAUGUUUAUGUGCAGAUUUCCUUUGUAGCUGAAGACCCUAAUAACUUAGAAAUUGCAGAGAAAAGGACAAGUUAAAAUCCAAAAGCAAAAUGUUUCUGUGAUUUUGCAUAUAGCAGAGACACGAGGGUUAAUGUCAUUGCAGCUAGCAGCUAAGUAUGAUAUCAUGGACAUAAAAGUUAGCAUAAAAAUGUAAUCAAUUUUUCCUUUCAUAGCAUUUUUUUUUUCCAAUUUACAGGCCAACAAUGCAGAGGAAUGUAUCACCCUUUAUUUUCUUCACAGACAUUAGCAGCAUUAUCUCAGCUUUUGAGAAAUACACUGCAAGCCAAAAUCAACCAUCACAAGACACAGCAAGUAUAUUCUGGCACUCAAAGUUUUUCUGAGGGACAGAGGGUACUUUCUGUCUUAUUGAGAGGCACUUACAUGAGAAUAGGCAAAAAUCCUGAUACUUAAUAAUCACAUCAGCUGAUGCCCUAGGAAGUGCAGAGCUGGAAACCCUGGUGUUAUUUAGGCCUACAAAAAACAGAGUAACAUAGGAGCAAAGGAGCAAUUUUUUUUCAUGGUAGCUUAGAGUGAUACAGGUAUGGAAUGAAGCUGAACACUCAGAAUUACUGGCCACAUGUUACAGAGUGCAUUAGAAUACACUAGAAACUCUGCACCUUACUCUCCCCAGGCUGUUUAACAUCAAAAGCAAGACAAAAAGCAACAGAAUUUGAAAAGAAGGAAAAGCAGAGAAAUGAAGAUAGAGGAAUGAAGAUUAGGUCUGGCACAGAACCAUUAUUCAUUUCCUUCUCCCCCUAUCAGUUAUCUUCACUUCUAGCCCCUACCUGCAUGUUAGGCUGCCCUGGCUUUCCAUCAGGGCACAGAUCUGCAAGCCCACAUGAGAUAUUCAUGACUGCCACACUUGGAGUCCUCCCUCCAGCACAUGGAGGUUUAAAUUAGUUCUUUGGUUAUACCUUGCUGUUUCCAUUCUAUGUUCUCCUCCAAUUCCUACUUAUCCCUGUACUAGAACACACCCUCCAACCCACUGCUUUCCUAUAUAUUCAAUUAAUAAAUUAAAACUUUGGUAAUUUUUCCUCUUGUUAAGUGGAUAUCAGCCUUGCUGCUUCAUUUCCCAGACAUAAAACCUUUUUUGGUUGUUUUGCUUCCCUGCUGUGUUUCUAAUUUUUCCACAUCAGAAACCUUGCAUUACUCUUUAUUAAGAAGCAUUUGGGACUUUUUUCUA